RNAcentral lists this long non-coding RNA (1129 nucleotides) under Olea europaea subsp. europaea. Lineage: Eukaryota; Viridiplantae; Streptophyta; Magnoliopsida; Lamiales; Oleaceae. The record is from RNAcentral.
UACUCGAUUGGAUUUUGCUUUGUUCAACGCGAUUCUUCGUAAAUCUAUAGAUGAAAUACCAACAGAUCCAGUAGCUGACCCUAUUAGUGAUGUUGAAGUUCUUCCUAUUCCAGCAGGGAAAGCUAGCUUUGAGGCGGUGCACAACUGUAAAAUGUGGUGAUCAUCAAACCUGAAUUGUGUUUUACUCAUGAUAUAGGCGAUAUACAAAUGGGAAAUUUUUCAUUUUUGUUACUCUCAUGAUUUUAUCUAUUCGUGUCAACUUUUACUUCUGUAUGAAAUAGGUUGAACCUAAAUGAAUAUUUCUUUUGGUGAUUAAGUGUUGGUUAGUGAUUAUGAAUCAAAUAUUCAUCUACAAAUGACAUAUUGGAAACUGUUCCAGAUGGCUUGCUGAACUCUUUGAUAUCGAUGAUGACGAUUCACUCCAAGAUGAAAAUAGCUUAGACUCUGCUGAUGACGAUGAGAGAAAAUGUCAUGAUGCAUCAAUAAAGUCUUUCCAUCUCCUCAAUGCAUUGAGUGAUCUCAUGAUGCUUCCAAAAGAGAUGCUAUUAAAUCGUGCAGUCACAAAAGAGAUUUAGCCAGGGCUUCGAAUAUUAUUGUUUUACAUUAUCUGGUGGGAGUGUCAUAGUUAAAUCCUUAUUUAUAUAAAUUCUUUUGUUUCAUAGGUAUGUCUCAUGUUUGGUCCACCACUGAUAAGAAGGUUUCCUAACUCUUUUCCCUCGACGAGUUUUGCCCUGACCCAGUUAAUUCCAGGUUUGUCCAAUGCUGAAGUAUCUUAUUAUUUCCUUUUUGUUACUUCUCUACUCUCAAAGAAAGAUGCUUCAAGACAUUGAUUGCUCACAUAUGUUCUUCUUUUAGGAUCCUUUUGAGGCAGAGGAAGAUUCCAUUGUAAAUUUCCCGUAUGCCGCAACACCUGCCAGGUACCAGCCACCAUCAGCUGCUUCAGUUGCUGGUAUCCAUUCUCACCUGACGCUGAGUGGGUCAUCACUUCUCAAGAAAUUGUUAAGCAAUUUCACUUUGUUGCAAGAAUAAAUUCUUAAUCAAAGCAAACAAUUAAUUAAAUAUCAAGAGAGCAAAAAGAAGAGAACACUGAAUUUCUACGUAGAAAACCCUCCAAUGUAGAGAAAAAACC